CCUACGGGAGGCAGCAGUGAGGAAUCAUUGUCAAUGGGCGCGAGCCUGAACCAGCCAAGCAGCGUGAAGGAUGACUGCCCUACGGGUUGUAAACCUCUUUUAUAAAGGAAUAAAUUGAGGCUCGUGUGCCUUUCUGUAUGUACUUUAUGAAUUAGGAUCGGCUAACUCCGUGCAAGCAGCCGCGGUAAUACGGAGGCUCCGAGCGUUAUCCGGAUUUAUUGGGUUUAAGGGGAGCGUAGAUGGGUUGUUAAGUCAGUUGUGAAAGUUUGCGGCUCAACCGGAGAAUUGCAAAUGAUACUGGGAGACUAGAGUACAGUUGGGGUAGGCGGAAUUCGUGGUGUAGCGGUGAAAUGCUUAGAUAUCACGAAGAACUCCGAUUGCGAAGGCAGCUUACUAAACUGCAACUGACGUUGAUGCACGAAGGUGUGGGUAUCAAACGGGAUUAGAUACCCGAGUAGUC
Molecule: ribosomal RNA, 460 nt
Filed under: uncultured bacterium
Lineage: Bacteria
Description: partial 16S ribosomal RNA
Rfam family: Bacterial small subunit ribosomal RNA
Source: RNAcentral